GCCACCACUUUACCUGUGAAUAGUCCCCCUGUAUGCAGUGCAGAUCGCAUGGUUUUUAAUGUAUUUAAUUGUUAAACUAGUUAUAUAAAUUUAUCUGCAACUUCCCGCCCGUUUUUGAGAAAACCGCCGCCAUCUUUGUAAAGUAAGCACUGUUCGCUUCAACAUGAGCAUGCGCAUGUGUGAAAAAUUCCCUUUCUAGGCAGGUGUCAUUGCAUUUGCAUAGAGUACACAAACCUGUCCUGAUGCACAGCCACAGAGAAAGAUCACUACACAAACAGUAAGAAUUUGUUUGCCCCUCACUGCGCUCUGGUUGCACUCGCUCCAAUGCUGCUGAUGUAAAUGUGUCUAGAGCGUUGUGGGCAAGUCAUGAAAAAAGGGGUGGAGAGGUUUAGGUUUGUAACAUGCGCACGCAGAGAGAGUGAUAAAAAAGUAUACUGAACUGAAUCUCUAUGCUGCCCGAGGCAGCGGGAUGGGCACAAUAUAUUUUCAGCAUCCAACCCCCAGACUGGCUUUGUGAAGGAACGGAAGUGCGUUUAUUACAGACUGAUAGGGAGUGACGUUGCAAGCAUUUCGCGCUAAAAACCGCCGCCAUUAACUAGCCUUAUGCAGGAGAAGAAGCUGAUAGCUUGCAUGACAUAAAUUAGCCAAUCGCGUCCAGCCUAUUAGCAUAAUCGCGCCAAAAGUCUAAGCGCUGAUAGUGUGAUGUAUUUACAUAUAAAGGCUUUCCUGUUCCUGUCUGCCACUCCCUGCUGAUUUCUUGAAAGGAGGGGUCCUGCUGUGCAGCUCUGAUGUAGGAUGUGGGAAGUCCUGGAGGAGGAUGCGUAGACGGAUUUCGGUGUGGAGGAGGGAUAUGUUUCUGGGCAGUGCUCAGACCAGGAGGUUGUGGACAUGGAGGAAGUCAUUCAGUCUUUUUUAAGCAUUUCCAGUGAUCCCAGUAUGGAUGCCUCUAGCACAGUGACGGGUUGGAAUGUGCAGACUCAAAUCACCAAUGUACAGAGACCAAUACUUUUCUGAAUUGUCUUCAAUUCUGGCUUAAAGCCUAUCUUUCUGACAGAAGAAGCUACGGUUGGUAGCGAAAUGGCUGUUGAGGUACGGUGGUGCACUUGGGAGACGGGGCCCCUCUCUGAGGAUUAAUGGCGCACACAUCACACAGUGGAGCAUAUGGCCUGAGGCUGGAUUAAUAUCCAGGACUUCACACACUGGCAAUAUGGUCAUAUUGCUAGACAGUGUCCAAAUAAAUCACAAUAGGAUAUUGUGGGAGUCUCCGAUUUAGAAGAAGAAUAUAAGGUAAAUUUACAUUUAUUAAAUGAAAUGCCAUUUAAAAUUUGUGAUUUGUAAUUUGAUAAAUGGUUCUUCAGUUCCUUGUCUUGUAGAUACCGGAGCUACUCAAACACUUUUUAAUCCAAAAGACUUGGCUACUCAGCUUCCUAGAACUGGUAAAACUAUUACUACAGUAGGAGUAAUCAUAUACAAGAAUUACCCUUAUCCAAGGAAGUGUCUAUUACAAUGGGGCUUUUAUCAGAACAUCACAGUUUUCUCCUUUCAUCGGAUGCUCACAUAAAUUCAUUGGGGAUCAUUGCGAGCGAGAAGAGUUUUUCCUAGUAUAUUGCUAUUGAUAAUAUUGCUGAUCAAGAAUUUUAUUAAUGAUUACAGAUUUAAGAAAUGCCAGAUAAUAUAAACUCUGUGGGUGUUGGAGAGUGGGAUAUUGAUAUUAGUUUAUUACUGUAUUCAUCCUGUAAUAUGCUUUUCUGUUUGAUUCUCCAGGGAUCAUUGCGAGCGAGAAGAGUUUUUCCUAGUAUAUUGCUAUUGAUAAUAUUGCUGAUCAAGAAUUUUAUUAAUGAUUACAGAUUUAAGAAAUGCCAUUUAUUCUUAAAAAUGUAAUUAUAUGUGUUUGUUUCCUGUAUGUUGUGUUCUGCUAAUUGGUAGUUAUAGUAUAUUUCAAGCAAAAGGAAAUACAAUCUUGCUUCACCUUCCUGAGAAUUCAGAUCCCAAGAUGAACAGUGUGGAAUUCCUUCAGUGCCAAUAUUUACAUCUACAUAAACUUCUAAGAAGAAUGAAGAAAUAUAAAGGACUUUCAAUUGUUGUGCUAUUUUGCCUGCAUAUAUUUGGGACUUUACAGUUCAUUACACACCAUGCUAUUAAAAUGUGUGAAACUGCAGUUGAAUAAUACAGAAUGUUGGAAUUGUUUGGAAAUUUUUAUGAAUGUUGGGUUUAAAGUGAUUAUAAUGCAAAGGUUUAUAUAAUUGUGUGUGGUCCUUUACAGGACCAAAGGGAGGAAUGUAAGGGUUAAUAAGAAUUUGGAGAAAAUCAAGGAGAAACUCUUCAUGUCCUUAAAAGGGAAUCUGUGCAGGCUGCCACAUGUCUUUAUGUUUAACCUCUGACCUAGGCUCUUUCUAAGCUAUACAUAUUCAAUAGUUUAGGUUAUAUACAAUGUAAUCAGAAUAUACUAUGUUACCAUCUAUCCAAUGAUUUUAAAAUAUGUUAAUUUGUAACUUUGUGAAAUAAGUAUAAUUAUGUCUUGAAAUUGUACUCGGGGCCAGCAGUCCUUUUUACAUUGCUGGCCCACACGUGUGUAAUAAAUCUUCUCUGAGAGAGUUUUCUUUGUCUGAAA
This is a long non-coding RNA of Xenopus laevis (African clawed frog), 2611 nucleotides long. RefSeq lists it as uncharacterized. NCBI's taxonomy places the organism in Eukaryota, Metazoa, Chordata, Amphibia, Anura, Pipidae. The transcript is spliced from 6 exons. The record is from RefSeq and is a predicted model, not a curated record.